RNAcentral lists this ribosomal RNA (254 nucleotides) under uncultured bacterium. RNAcentral's name for it is "partial 16S ribosomal RNA". It matches the Rfam family "Bacterial small subunit ribosomal RNA", at positions 524 to 776 of the family's 1533-position model. The record is from RNAcentral.
UACGUAGGGACCAAGCGUUGUUCGGAUUUACUGGGCGUAAAGGGCGCGUAGGCGGCAAUUCAAGUCAGCUGUGAAAUCUCCGGGCUUAACUCGGAACGGUCAGCUGAUACUGCUUUGCUAGAGUGCAGAAGGGGCAAUCGGAAUUCUUGGUGUAGCGGUGAAAUGCGUAGAUAUCAAGAGGAACACCUGAGGUGAAGACGGGUUGCUGGGCUGACACUGACGCUGAGUGCGCGAAAGCCAGGGGAGCAAACGGG